RNAcentral lists this ribosomal RNA (52 nucleotides) under Paenibacillus sp. BK033. The record is from RNAcentral. Lineage: Bacteria; Bacillati; Bacillota; Bacilli; Caryophanales; Paenibacillaceae.
CGCCGAUGGUACUUGGACCGCAGGGUCCUGGGAGAGUAGGACGUCGCCAAGC